UUCAGGACGAUCAAAGGCACAUGGGUGAAGGCUCCAGCAACCAUCACAAAGGGUAUAAAAGAAAACUGAAGAAAAAUUACACUUUUUUACUUGGAUUAAUGAAGCCUGAAAGAGAGAGAGGGAGACGGGGGAAAAAAGAAAAAUUGAUCCAACAAAACAAUGACCUGGCAAGACAAAAAAGAAAAAGCAAAAAGAAAAACAAAGAAGAAACAUACUACCACGCUAGCUGUCCAAUGCCGGCAUACAGGCAUCAUCACGAACCUAUGCAAUUUAAUCAGGCCAAACAACUUUACCCUGCUGCUAGCCGCGUCACGGCGUCGGGGCGGCUGGCGGCGUGCCUCCGGACCGCGACGGCUCCUCUUCCGACGUGCCCCUUACGCCCUCGCUCUCCUCCUCCGUCGCGGUCGCCGUCGUCGUCCGGCCGCCGCCGAUCUCCUCGAUCAUCCGGACCACGUCGGGGGCGUCCAGCCGCGCGUCCGGGACGGUGGCCACGCACGCCAUGGCCACCUGCAGCAGCGCCACCAUCUCCUCCUCGGCGCUGGCGCCCAGGCGCACCAGCUCGACGUCGAACACCUCGGCGGUCCACUCCUCCCGCACCACGGACUGCACCCACCGGGGCAGGUCCAGCGUGCCGUCGCCCUCCAGCGACGCGUGCGAGGGGGACCUCCCCGUCAGGAGCUCCAGCAGGAGCACGCCCAGCGAGUACACGUCCGACUUGAACGUCAGCCGGCGCGCGUCCACCACCUCCGGGGCGCGGUACCCUCCGGCCCGCGUCGUCGACGGCGCGAACAGCCGGUGGAGGCUCAAGUCGGAGAGCGCCGCGGCGUCGGCGUCCGCGCGGAGCAGGACGUUCGAGGCCUUCACGUUGCCGUGCACAAGGUUGUGCGCCGUGUGCAGGUGCGCCAGCCCGCGCGCGGCCGACAGCGCGAACCGCAUCCGCGUCUCCCAGUCCAGUGGCGUCCGCCCCGAGCCCCGGCUCCCUGCGCGUGGAUGCACAAACUCUCCCCCCAUCAGAAAGCUCGAGUACAUGGGAAAAGGAACAUCUCGCAAAGAUUCAGUGACUCCAUCCAAAUGCCAACUGAGCAACGCACACCGUUUUUUUUUAUUGCACGUAUAUGGGAACAAAAGUUCACGUUCACAAAAUUCAUGCUGUUGGCUCUGGCUGGCACUAAAAACCACACACGUCACAGCGUGAUACUGCAUCCAGCGUUGCAGCGUAUAGCGAGGAC
This 1229-nucleotide unclassified non-coding RNA is filed under the name Zea mays. RNAcentral describes it as "misc RNA Zm00001eb357930". The record is from RNAcentral. Lineage: Eukaryota; Viridiplantae; Streptophyta; Magnoliopsida; Poales; Poaceae.